CCUACGGGAGGCAGCAGUGGGGAAUAUUGGGCAAUGGAGGAAACUCUGACCCAGCAACGCCGCGUGAAUGAUGAAGGUCUUCGGAUUGUAAAGUUCUUUUCUAAGGGAAGAAGAAAGUGACGGUACCUUAGGAAUAAGCCUCGGCUAACUACGUGCCAGCAGCCGCGGUAAUACGUAGGAGGCAAGCGUUAUCCGGAAUGACUGGGCGUAAAGGGUGCGUAGGUGGUUUGACAAGUUGGUAGCGUAACUCCGAGGCUUAACCUCGGCACUACUACCAAAACUGUUGGACUCGAGUGCAGGAGGGGCAAAUGGAAUUCCUAGUGUAGCGGUGGAAUGCGUAGAUAUUAGGAGGAACACCAGUGGCGAAGGCGGCUUACUGGACUGUAACUGACGUUGAGGCUCGAAAGCGUGGGGAGCAAACAGGAUUAGAUACCCGUGUAGUC
This 443-nucleotide ribosomal RNA is filed under the name uncultured bacterium. RNAcentral describes it as "partial 16S ribosomal RNA". It matches the Rfam family "Bacterial small subunit ribosomal RNA", at positions 338 to 795 of the family's 1533-position model. The record is from RNAcentral.